GUGGAUGCCCUGGCAGUCAGAGGCGAUGAAGGACGUGCUAAUCUGCGAUAAGCGUCGGUGAGGUGAUAUGAACCGUUAUAACCGGCGAUUUCCGAAUGGGGAAACCCAGUGUGUUUCGACACACUAUCAUUAACUGAAUCCAUAGGUUAAUGAGGCGAACCGGGGGAACUGAAACAUCUAAGUACCCCGAGGAAAAGAAAUCAACCGAGAUUCCCCCAGUAGCGGCGAGCGAACGGGGAGGAGCCCAGAGCCUGAAUCAGUGUGUGUGUUAGUGGAAGCGUCUGGAAAGGCGCGCGAUACAGGGUGACAGCCCCGUACACAAAAAUGCACAUGCUGUGAGCUCGAUGAGUAGGGCGGGACACGUGGUAUCCUGUCUGAAUAUGGGGGGACCAUCCUCCAAGGCUAAAUACUCCUGACUGACCGAUAGUGAACCAGUACCGUGAGGGAAAGGCGAAAAGAACCCCGGCGAGGGGAGUGAAAAAGAACCUGAAACCGUGUACGUACAAGCAGUGGGAGCCUCUUAAUGGGGUGACUGCGUACCUUUUGUAUAAUGGGUCAGCGACUUAUAUUCUGUAGCAAGGUUAACCGAAUAGGGGAGCCGAAGGGAAACCGAGUCUUAACUGGGCGUUAAGUUGCAGGGUAUAGACCCGAAACCCGGUGAUCUAGCCAUGGGCAGGUUGAAGGUUGGGUAACACUAACUGGAGGACCGAACCGACUAAUGUUGAAAAAUUAGCGGAUGACUUGUGGCUGGGGGUGAAAGGCCAAUCAAACCGGGAGAUAGCUGGUUCUCCCCGAAAGCUAUUUAGGUAGCGCCUCGUGAAUUCAUCUCCGGGGGUAGAGCACUGUUUCGGCAAGGGGGUCAUCCCGACUUACCAACCCGAUGCAAACUGCGAAUACCGGAGAAUGUUAUCACGGGAGACACACGGCGGGUGCUAACGUCCGUCGUGAAGAGGGAAACAACCCAGACCGCCAGCUAAGGUCCCAAAGUCAUGGUUAAGUGGGAAACGAUGUGGGAAGGCCCAGACAGCCAGGAUGUUGGCUUAGAAGCAGCCAUCAUUUAAAGAAAGCGUAAUAGCUCACUGGUCGAGUCGGCCUGCGCGGAAGAUGUAACGGGGCUAAACCAUGCACCGAAGCUGCGGCAGCGACACUAUGUGUUGUUGGGUAGGGGAGCGUUCUGUAAGCCUGUGAAGGUGGCCUGUGAGGGUUGCUGGAGGUAUCAGAAGUGCGAAUGCUGACAUAAGUAACGAUAAAGCGGGUGAAAAGCCCGCUCGCCGGAAGACCAAGGGUUCCUGUCCAACGUUAAUCGGGGCAGGGUGAGUCGACCCCUAAGGCGAGGCCGAAAGGCGUAGUCGAUGGGAAACAGGUUAAUAUUCCUGUACUUGGUGUUACUGCGAAGGGGGGACGGAGAAGGCUAUGUUGGCCGGGCGACGGUUGUCCCGGUUUAAGCGUGUAGGCUGGUUUUCCAGGCAAAUCCGGAAAACCAAGGCUGAGGCGUGAUGACGAGGCACUACGGUGCUGAAGUGACAAAUGCCCUGCUUCCAGGAAAAGCCUCUAAGCAUCAGGUAACAUCAAAUCGUACCCCAAACCGACACAGGUGGUCAGGUAGAGAAUACCAAGGCGCUUGAGAGAACUCGGGUGAAGGAACUAGGCAAAAUGGUGCCGUAACUUCGGGAGAAGGCACGCUGAUAUGUAGGUGAAGCGACUUGCUCGUGGAGCUGAAAUCAGUCGAAGAUACCAGCUGGCUGCAACUGUUUAUUAAAAACACAGCACUGUGCAAACACGAAAGUGGACGUAUACGGUGUGACGCCUGCCCGGUGCCGGAAGGUUAAUUGAUGGGGUUAGCGGUAACGCGAAGCUCUUGAUCGAAGCCCCGGUAAACGGCGGCCGUAACUAUAACGGUCCUAAGGUAGCGAAAUUCCUUGUCGGGUAAGUUCCGACCUGCACGAAUGGCGUAAUGAUGGCCAGGCUGUCUCCACCCGAGACUCAGUGAAAUUGAACUCGCUGUGAAGAUGCAGUGUACCCGCGGCAAGACGGAAAGACCCCGUGAACCUUUACUAUAGCUUGACACUGAACAUUGAGCCUUGAUGUGUAGGAUAGGUGGGAGGCUUUGAAGUGUGGACGCCAGUCUGCAUGGAGCCGACCUUGAAAUACCACCCUUUAAUGUUUGAUGUUCUAACGUUGGCCCCUAAUCGGGGUUGCGGACAGUGUCUGGUGGGUAGUUUGACUGGGGCGGUCUCCUCCUAAAGAGUAACGGAGGAGCACGAAGGUUGGCUAAUCCUGGUCGGACAUCAGGAGGUUAGUGCAAUGGCAUAAGCCAGCUUGACUGCGAGCGUGACGGCGCGAGCAGGUGCGAAAGCAGGUCAUAGUGAUCCGGUGGUUCUGAAUGGAAGGGCCAUCGCUCAACGGAUAAAAGGUACUCCGGGGAUAACAGGCUGAUACCGCCCAAGAGUUCAUAUCGACGGCGGUGUUUGGCACCUCGAUGUCGGCUCAUCACAUCCUGGGGCUGAAGUAGGUCCCAAGGGUAUGGCUGUUCGCCAUUUAAAGUGGUACGCGAGCUGGGUUUAGAACGUCGUGAGACAGUUCGGUCCCUAUCUGCCGUGGGCGCUGGAGAACUGAGGGGGGCUGCUCCUAGUACGAGAGGACCGGAGUGGACGCAUCACUGGUGUUCGGGUUGUCAUGCCAAUGGCACUGCCCGGUAGCUAAAUGCGGAAGAGAUAAGUGCUGAAAGCAUCUAAGCACGAAACUUGCCCCGAGAUGAGUUCUCCCUGAGACUUAGAGUCUCCUGAAGGAACGUUGAAGACGACGACGUUGAUAGGCCGGGUGUGUAAGCGCAGCGAUGCGUUGAGCUAACCGGUACUAAUGAACCGUGAGGCUUAACCUU
RNAcentral lists this ribosomal RNA (2881 nucleotides) under Escherichia coli. Its description in RNAcentral is "bacterial LSU rRNA". It matches the Rfam family "Bacterial large subunit ribosomal RNA". The record is from RNAcentral. Lineage: Bacteria; Pseudomonadati; Pseudomonadota; Gammaproteobacteria; Enterobacterales; Enterobacteriaceae.